Molecule: small RNA, 422 nt
Filed under: uncultured cyanobacterium
Lineage: Bacteria; Bacillati; Cyanobacteriota
Description: bacterial LSU rRNA
Rfam family: Bacterial small subunit ribosomal RNA (bases 1-120)
Source: RNAcentral
GUCACGCCCGAAGUCGUUACCCUAACCGCAAGGAGGGGGAUGCCGAAGGCAGGGCUAGUGACUGGGGUGAAGUCGUAACAAGGUAGCCGUACCGGAAGGUGUGGCUGGAUCACCUCCUUUUAGGGAGACCUUUUGCCAGCAGCAACCCAAAAUAAAACGCUGUCUGUGCGAACAAUCCCAAGGUCGUGCCAGAAAGGAGUAAGCUUUCCAACUAACGAAGGGUUCGUGGGCUAUUAGCUCAGGUGGUUAGAGCGCACCCCUGAUAAGGGUGAGGUCCCUGGUUCGAGUCCAGGAUGGCCCACAUUAGCACCUUGAAAACUGCAUAGAAAAUAGAUAGAGAAAUAUCAGAAAAUCUGAUAACCAGGUGAAAAAUCCAGGUCAAGCUACAAAGAGCUAACGGUGGAUACCUAGGCACACAGAGG